AGCCUGUUCUAUAAUUGAUACCCCCCAAUAAACCUCACCACUACUAGCCAAACAGCCUAUAUACCACCGUCACAAGCUUACCCUAUGAAGGAACAACAGUAGGCCAAAUAAUUUAAAAUUAAAAAGUCAGGUCAAGGUGUAGCACAUGAAGUGGGAAGAAAUGGGCUACAUUUUCUCUAAAGAAAAAUACGAAAUAUUUAAUGAAAUAAAAUAUAAAGGCGGAUUUAGUAGUAAGAAAAAAAUAGAGAGUUUAUCUUAAAUCGGCAAUAGGACAAGCACACACCGCCCGUCACCCUCCUCAACAAUAUCACAAACAACAUAUAAGCACACUAAACAAAGAGGAGGAAAGUCGUAACAUGGUAAGUCUACCGGAAGGUGGACUUGGAAU
Molecule: ribosomal RNA, 388 nt
Filed under: Oedipina taylori (Taylor's worm salamander)
Lineage: Eukaryota; Metazoa; Chordata; Amphibia; Caudata; Plethodontidae
Description: partial 12S ribosomal RNA
Rfam family: Bacterial small subunit ribosomal RNA
Source: RNAcentral